AAAGUCGUAACAAGGUAACCGUAGGUGAACCUGCGGUUGGAUCAUUACUGAAUUUAAAGGCCAAGUACUUUUGGUACUUUUGUACUUUGUGGUACUUGGCACUUUAUUACACCCCUUUGUGAACCAUUAUUGUAUUUUGGCAGCCCUCCAUACGGCAGAUUUGAUCGAGUAGCGAAGCGUUGCUCACCAAUUUUGCCAUGGGCUGUCAGCCUUUAAAAACACCAAUGUCAUAUAUAUAUCAUGUCGCCAAUGGGACUUUAAAAGUUUCGUUAUUUUAAUAAAUACAACUUUUGACAACGGAUCUCUUGGCUCUC
This 314-nucleotide unclassified non-coding RNA is filed under the name Chytridiomycota sp. Its description in RNAcentral is "partial contains small subunit ribosomal RNA, internal transcribed spacer 1, and 5.8S ribosomal RNA". The stretch from base 1 to 47 matches the Rfam family "Eukaryotic small subunit ribosomal RNA", at positions 1785 to 1831 of the family's 1831-position model. Lineage: Eukaryota; Fungi; Chytridiomycota. The record is from RNAcentral.